AACUUUCAACAACGGAUCUCUUGGCUCUCGCAUCGAUGAAGAACGCAGCGAAAUGCGAUACGUAAUGUGAAUUGCAGAAUUCAGUGAAUCAUCGAAUCUUUGAACGCACAUUGCACUCUCUGGUAUUCCGGAGAGUAUGCUUGUUUGAGUAUCAGUA
Molecule: ribosomal RNA, 157 nt
Filed under: zygomycete sp. WD11b
Lineage: Eukaryota; Fungi; Mucoromycota
Description: 5.8S ribosomal RNA
Rfam family: 5.8S ribosomal RNA
About the family: 5.8S ribosomal RNA (5.8S rRNA) is a component of the large subunit of the eukaryotic ribosome. It is transcribed by RNA polymerase I as part of the 45S precursor that also contains 18S and 28S rRNA.
Source: RNAcentral